Molecule: long non-coding RNA, 135 nt
Organism: Telopea speciosissima
Lineage: Eukaryota; Viridiplantae; Streptophyta; Magnoliopsida; Proteales; Proteaceae
Exons: 3
Source: RefSeq, a predicted model, not a curated record
AUCAAUGAGACUGGUUUCUUUCUUGCACAUACUUCACUAACAAUCAGACCAAUAUAUCUAGCACUCGCACCCUGUUGACCUCUGCUGACUCCCGCUUGCAACAUCAAUGGUGUCUGGCAGGUAUCUGUCAUUGUU